GUUGUUGGGUAGGGGAGCGUUCUGUAAGCCUGUGAAGGUGUGCUGUGAGGCAUGCUGGAGGUAUCAGAAGUGCGAAUGCUGACAUAAGUAACGAUAAAGCGGGUGAAAAGCCCGCUCGCCGGAAGACCAAGGGUUCCUGUCCAACGUUAAUCGGGGCAGGGUGAGUCGACCCCUAAGGCGAGGCCGAAAGGCGUAGUCGAUGGGAAACAGGUUAAUAUUCCUGUACUUGGUGUUACUGCGAAGGGGGGACGGAGAAGGCUAUGUCGGCCGGGCGACGGUUGUCCCGGUUUAAGCGUGUAGGCUGACUUUCCAGGCAAAUCCGGAAAGUUAAGGCUGAGGCGUGAUGACGAGGCACCACGGUGCUGAAGUGACAAAUGCCCUGCUUCCAGGAAAAGCCUCUAAGCAUCAGGUAACAUCAAAUCGUACCCCAAACCGACACAGGUGGUCAGGUAGAGAAUACCAAGGCGCUUGAGAGAACUCGGGUGAAGGAACUAGGCAAAAUGGUGCCGUAACUUCGGGAGAAGGCACGCUGACAUGUAGGUGAAGCCCCUGCGGGUGGAGCUGAAGUCAGUCGAAGAUACCAGCUGGCUGCAACUGUUUAUUAAAAACACAGCACUGUGCAAACACGAAAGUGGACGUAUACGGUGUGACGCCUGCCCGGUGCCGGAAGGUUAAUUGAUGGGGUUAUCGCAAGAGAAGCUCCUGAUCGAAGCCCCGGUAAACGGCGGCCGUAACUAUAACGGUCCUAAGGUAGCGAAAUUCCUUGUCGGGUAAGUUCCGACCUGCACGAAUGGCGUAAUGAUGGCCAGGCUGUCUCCACCCGAGACUCAGUGAAAUUGAACUCGCUGUGAAGAUGCAGUGUACCCGCGGCAAGACGGAAAGACCCCGUGAACCUUUACUACAGCUUGACACUGAACAUUGAGCCUUGAUGUGUAGGAUAGGUGGGAGGCUUUGAAGCGUGGACGCCAGUCUGCGUGGAGCCAACCUUGAA
Molecule: ribosomal RNA, 991 nt
Filed under: Cronobacter sakazakii
Lineage: Bacteria; Pseudomonadati; Pseudomonadota; Gammaproteobacteria; Enterobacterales; Enterobacteriaceae
Description: bacterial LSU rRNA
Rfam family: Bacterial large subunit ribosomal RNA
Source: RNAcentral